GUGUACACUUGUAGAAGCCUUUGCAGCCACGCAAGUGGUAGAUCUGGGCGACUUUAAACAAUCCCAGGAUCGCUAUGCAAGUCGGCCCACGCGCGUGGUGCCGGCGACACUUUCGAAUUGACGGGGACGCCCUAAAGCCUGUCGCACCAACUCUGUGUGGGAAACCGCCCGAGGGCCCGUGCUAACUACACGGGGUGGUAACAGACGACAUGGAUACUUCCACGCCUUUGGUGUGGAUGCUAUGGGUAAUCCGCAGCGAAGCCUCUAAGUCCGGCCGACGGAUACGAGGAACGUUCACAGACUAAGUGGAAGUGGGUGGAGCGUUUGCCGCUCUGCUUAAGAUAUAGUCGGUCCCCUUGGGAAACUAAGGGGGUGAGCACACUGCCUGAAAUUUUAACAUGAACGUGCGCGGUUGUAAGGUGAUUGAUUCUUAUAUACGCCAGCAGCGCACCUUCCCUAAAAUUUCAAGACUGCCAAUUGCCUCGCGGUUUGACAGCUCUUAAAACGUUCCGUAGGUGAACCUGCGGAAGGAUCAUUACAGAAAGUAAACGCGGGUCAAACCGCGAACUUUUAAACCUUUGAUGAUUGACUCGUGUUGCCUCGGCGGGCUCGCCCG
This 616-nucleotide unclassified non-coding RNA is filed under the name Cenococcum geophilum. Its description in RNAcentral is "partial contains SSU and ITS1". The stretch from base 18 to 371 matches the Rfam family "Group I catalytic intron". From Rfam's summary of the family: Group I catalytic introns are large self-splicing ribozymes. They catalyse their own excision from mRNA, tRNA and rRNA precursors in a wide range of organisms. The core secondary structure consists of 9 paired regions (P1-P9). Lineage: Eukaryota; Fungi; Ascomycota; Dothideomycetes; Gloniales; Gloniaceae. The record is from RNAcentral.